Molecule: ribosomal RNA, 497 nt
Filed under: uncultured bacterium
Lineage: Bacteria
Description: partial 16S ribosomal RNA
Rfam family: Bacterial small subunit ribosomal RNA
Source: RNAcentral
GAUGAACGCUGGCGGCGUGCCUAAUACAUGCCAGUCGAGCGAACGGACGAGAAGUUUGCUUCUCUGACGUUAGCGGCGAACGGGUGAGUAACAUGUGUAUAACCCACCUAUAAUACUGGGAUAACUUCGGGAAACCGUAUCUAAUACCGGAUAAUAUUUUGAACCGCAAGGUUCAAAAGUGAAAGACGGUCUUGCUGUCACUUAUAGAUGUAUCCGCGCUGCAGUAGCUAGUUGGUCAGGUAACGGCUUACCAAGUCGACGAUGCAUAGCCGAGCUGAGAGGGUGAUCGGCCACAAGGGAACGGAGAGACGGUCCAGACUCCUACGGGAGGCAGCAGUAGGGAAUCUUGCGCAAGGGGCGAAAGCCUGACGGAGCAACGACGCGUGAGUGAUGAAGGUCUUCGGAUCGUAAAACUCUGUUAGUAGGGAAGAACAUAUCUGUAAGUAACUGUGCACAUCGUGACGGUACCUGAAGAGAAAGCCACGGCUAACUACGUG